Molecule: ribosomal RNA, 253 nt
Filed under: uncultured bacterium
Lineage: Bacteria
Description: partial 16S ribosomal RNA
Rfam family: Bacterial small subunit ribosomal RNA
Source: RNAcentral
UACGUAGGGGGCAAGCGUUGUCCGGAUUUAUUGGGCGUAAAGGGCGUGUAGGCGGUCCGCUAAGUCUGAUGUGAAAGCCCGGGGCUCACCCCCGGAAGUGCAUUGGAAACUGGCGAACUCGAGUCCCGGAGAGGAGAGUGGAAUUCCUGGUGUAGCGGUGAAAUGCGUAGAUAUCAGGAGGAACACCGGUGGCGAAGGCGGCUCUCUGGACGGUGACUGACGCUGAGACGCGAAAGCGUGGGGAGCAAACAGG